RNAcentral lists this long non-coding RNA (244 nucleotides) under Cavia porcellus (domestic guinea pig). RNAcentral's name for it is "lncRNA (ENSCPOG00000035333.1)". The record is from RNAcentral. Lineage: Eukaryota; Metazoa; Chordata; Mammalia; Rodentia; Caviidae.
CGCUUACGUCCCUCAGGCUGCAGCCAAUCCGCACAGCGGACGGCGACCAAUGGGGUUCACGCGCUGGAGGAGCACUGAGUUUAAAUGCGCAGCGCCGGUGGGUUUGGAGACUCGCUAGGACGCGCGCUUCCGGGCUCGGCCCCUACGAGCCAGCUGAGACGUCAGCAGCUGGAAUUGAGACAACUGGCAGCUUGGGUGUCUUUAGCCAGAAGGAGAUCAGCAACGUGUUGGAGGAGGAUGCAGU